UUUACCCGCACCAAGACAUCACUAACUGUAGGUGAAGUGCCACAAAUUGUGACCAAUACAUGGCGAUCCAGACCUUAGCAGGGAGAAAUCUUUAUCCUGCCAAUGCCAGCAGUAACCCAGGACUGUUUUUUAAAGUUUUGAUCGAGUCUGAAUAUCUGCAAAUGAUUAAAUGUACAUAAACCUAAGAGCAAUAUAAAGCCUGUACACCUGUGGAAAUCUCCUUACCUGUUUCACACUAUGGAAUAACUCAAAAGUCGACCAACAAAUUUUGGCUGCUUCAGCAAGAAUACAUAUAUUCAAAGUCUGUUGACUCUUAAAGCAUUGUGCAAAGGUAAAAUUUGCUAGUGAGUUAAAUAAUACAAUUUUGUAAGAGGAGUCACUAGCGAGUUAAUUACACUUUGUAAAAGGAGUUGCUAGCGAGUUAAAUAACGUAAAUUGGUAUUUUUAAGAGGAGUUUCUAGUGAGUUACAUGUAAAUAACACAAUUUUGUAAAAGGAGUUGCUAGUGAGUUAAAGGGACUGGUUCACGAUUUUUGAUGAAAAUAUUUUUCAUUUUUUAUGUUAAACAUUAAAAAUAUGCCUCAUUUAAUGUUGACAGCAAAAAUUUUGACCUUCUGAAUGGAAGAAUAAAAGAAAUAUUUUAGCCUUAAAUCUUUGUUAUGUAAACAAAGACUCGAGUCAUUUUAUGUAUACAAACAAACAAGUGAAAUAAUGAUUUUGUAAAAUAAAGCAUCUUAAUUUUGCAUAGUCACACAUUCUAACAUUUAGAUGACACAUUUCACCCAAAGAAUGCUUGAAAUAUGAAAGAUAUAAUAAACUUAGAUCGAAAUCCAUUUCUUUUGAAAAUUACAGUAAACAAUAACAUACUGCAAUCUUUGUUUACAAAACAAAUAAUAAACUCUCUAAAAUGAGCUUCUGUGAUCAUGUAUAACCUUAAUUUUUGUGUGAAAUCUUUUAAACACAUUAGACAGUAGAUUUUGAUCAUUAAAAGUGAAAA
Molecule: long non-coding RNA, 996 nt
Organism: Ostrea edulis (European flat oyster)
Lineage: Eukaryota; Metazoa; Mollusca; Bivalvia; Ostreida; Ostreidae
Exons: 3
Source: RefSeq, a predicted model, not a curated record